Molecule: ribosomal RNA, 393 nt
Filed under: uncultured bacterium
Lineage: Bacteria
Description: partial 16S ribosomal RNA
Rfam family: Bacterial small subunit ribosomal RNA
Source: RNAcentral
AUACGGAGGAUGCGAGCGUUAUCCGGAUUUAUUGGGUUUAAAGGGAGCGUAGGUGGGAUAUUAAGUCAGCUGUGAAAGUUUGGGGCUCAACCUUAAAAUUGCAGUUGAUACUGGUUUCCUUGAGUACGGUACAGGUGGGCGGAAUUCGUGGUGUAGCGGUGAAAUGCUUAGAUAUCACGAAGAACUCCGAUCGCGAAGGCAGCUCACCGGGCCGGAACUGACACUGAUGCUCGAAAGUGCGGGUAUCAAACAGGAUUAGAUACCCUGGUAGUCCGCACAGUAAACGAUGAAUACUCGCUGUUUGCGAUACACUGUAAGCGGCCAAGCGAAAGCGUUAAGUAAUCCACCUGGGGAGUACGCCGGCAACGGUGAAACUCAAAUGAAUUGGCGGGG